Molecule: ribosomal RNA, 721 nt
Filed under: uncultured korarchaeote
Lineage: Archaea; Thermoproteati; Thermoproteota
Description: bacterial SSU rRNA
Rfam family: Archaeal small subunit ribosomal RNA
Source: RNAcentral
CCGCGGUAAAACCAGCUCCCCGAGGGGUUCCCACGCACACUGGGCCUAAAGCGUCCGUAGCCGGCCCUGUAAGUCUGCAGUUAAAUCCGCCUGUAGACAGGCGGGUUGCUGCAGAUACUGCAGGGCUAGGGAGCGGGAGGAGCCGGGGGUAUUCCCGGGGGAGCGGUAAAAUGCGUAGAUCCCGGGAGGACCACCAGUGGCGAAGGCGCCCGGCUUGAACGCGUCCGACGGUGAGGGACGAAAGCUGGGGGAGCAAACCGGAUUAGAUACCCGGGUAGUCCCAGCCGUAAACGAUGCCGGCUAGGUGCUGGCCAAGGUUUCGGCCUUGGCCAGUGUCGAAGCGAAGGCAUUAAGCCGGCCGCCUGAGGAGUACGGCCGCAAGGCUGAAACUUGAAGGAAUUGACGGGGGGGCACCACAAGGGGUGAAUGCCUGCGGCUUAAUUGGACUCAACGCCGGGAAUCUUACCGGGGGCGACAGCAGGAUGAAGGUCAGGCUGAAGACCUUACCAGACGCGCUGAGGGGUGGUGCAUGGCCGUCGCCAGCUCGUGCCGUGAGGUGUCCUGUUAAGUCAGGCAACGAGCGAGACCCCCGCCCCUAGUUGCCAGCGGCCUCCUUCGGGAGGGACCGGGCAAACUAGGGGGACCGCCUCCGAAGAGGAGGAGGAAGGUGGGGGCUACGGCAGGUCAGUAUGCCCCUAAUCCCCCGGGCCGCACGCGGGCU